Sinocyclocheilus rhinocerous is the source of this 317-nucleotide long non-coding RNA. RefSeq lists it as uncharacterized. The transcript is spliced from 3 exons. NCBI's taxonomy places the organism in Eukaryota, Metazoa, Chordata, Actinopteri, Cypriniformes, Cyprinidae. The record is from RefSeq and is a predicted model, not a curated record.
UUUCCCUUAAUAAACUUCUCCUCCACUGAUGCCUUAUAUUUCCUUUUUUUCCUUCCUAAUCUCGUUUAGGAUAUUCAACAGAAGAUUAAUAUACUUCUGUUCUAUCUAGGUUCAGAGCCCUCUUAAUGACUAUCUUGUUUUGGAAGGACGAAGAGAUGCUUUGGAAGUAAAAGUUGUCAACGACAAGCCUGACAUCACCCAAAGACCAGCUCUUUUUACAGUAAACCAGGAUGCAGCUGACAAGACAGACUCCAGUAAGAAUCCUCAGUGUUGAUCAAGCAAGUCCACAUCUAACCCAUCUAGAGUGGGAAUCAUCU